UACGGAGGGUGCAAGCGUUACUCGGAAUCACUGGGCGUAAAGCGCGCGCAGGCGGCUUUGUAAGUUGGAUGUGAAAUCCUAUGGCUCAACCAUAGAACCGCAUCCAAAACUACUUAGCUAGAGUCUGGGAGGGGAAGAUGGAAUUAGUGGUGUAGGGGUAAAAUCCGUAGAGAUCACUAGGAAUACCAAAAGCGAAGGCGAUCUUCUGGAACAGUACUGACGCUGAGGCGCGAAAGCGUGGGGAGCAAACAGGAUUAGAUACCCUGGUAGUCCACGCCCUAAACGAUGAAUGUUAGUCGUCGGGUAGCUAGUCUAUUCGGUGAUGCAGUUAACACAUUAAACAUUCCGCCUGGGGAGUACGGUCGCAAGAUUAAAACUCAAAGGAAUAGACGGGGACCCGCACAAGUGGUGGAGCAUGUGGUUUAAUUCGAAGAUACGCGAAGAACCUUACCUGGCCUUGACAUUGAUGGAAUCUGCUAGAGAUAGCGGAGUGCCUUUCGGGGAGCUUGAAAACAGGUGCUGCACGGCUGUCGUCAGCUCGUGUCGUGAGAUGUUGGGUUAAGUCCCGCAACGAGCGCAACCCUCGUUCUUAGUUACUAACGGUUCGGCCGAGGACUCUAAGAAGACUGCCUUCGCAAGGAGGAGGAAGGUGAGGACGACGUCAAGUCAUCAUGGCCCUUACGGCCAGGGCAACACACGUGCUACAAUGGGUAGGACAAUGAGACGCGAUACCGCGAGGUGGAGCAAAUCUAUAAACCUAUUCUCAGUUCGGAUUGUAGUCUGCAACUCGACUACAUGAAGCUGGAAUCACUAGUAAUCGUAGAUCAGCUAUGCUACGGUGAAUACGUUCCCGGGUCU
This 858-nucleotide ribosomal RNA is filed under the name uncultured bacterium. Its description in RNAcentral is "SSU rRNA". It matches the Rfam family "Bacterial small subunit ribosomal RNA", at positions 524 to 1381 of the family's 1533-position model. The record is from RNAcentral.